This is a long non-coding RNA of Carassius carassius (crucian carp), 1055 nucleotides long. RefSeq lists it as uncharacterized. The transcript has 2 exons. The record is from RefSeq and is a predicted model, not a curated record. Lineage: Eukaryota; Metazoa; Chordata; Actinopteri; Cypriniformes; Cyprinidae.
UCCUCACCCCUCUACCAGCAGGGUACAAGCCAUAGACCGAAGCCAAACUACGCUCUUAUUGAGGCCAGCAACCAAGAAGGCUCACAGAGAGCCUAGCACUCAGAGCCAGCUGGCCCGUGAAGCUCUACAAAGUGUAGGCCUAAAUGCAACACCUUUCAAAUCAGAGGCAGUCUAGCAACACUCCAUUCCACUUAGCCAAUGCCUGGCCGAGUUCUAUAGGAGAAGAAGCCUCAGCAUGACAACUCUCUAAAACGAGAGGAGACCUACUACAACUCACGCAUAGGAAACCUUAGAAGGAGGCUCACAGAGAGCCUACAACCUGCAAAGUUAUGUCCUAGUGGAGCUCUAGCCUGGAUACCUCAAUGAAGUUAACUCUCUGUAGCGAUAGGAGGCCCAGAUGACACUCGCAGUAGAUUGCCAAGCUCUAGGAGCAGAGGCCUCUACAUGAUGAUUCCCUGAAAUAAGAGGAGGCCUAACUAUAUCCCACGCUCAGGACAUCUCACAGAUUCUGCCUAACUACACCCCAUCCUAGUGAAGCUUUGGUAAGUGGAGGCCUGACGAUACUCGCUGUAGAUGACCAAGCCUACAACUCACAGAUGUCUUCAUCAUAGGUCCAGCUUCAGGGCAAGAAAAAGUGCAAAAGUGUGUCAUAGAAAAGUGCUUGCAAUGCAUGCAAACAGCCACCAAGGACUGAGCGUGCUGCUCUUCACAUAUGCACAUAAAGGACAUAAUAUGCCUGUCAUCAGGUGUCAAGAAAUGCUGACAUGGAUGAACAGACAUUUUAAAGUUUGCAGUGCUAGUGCUUGCCAUAGUUACAUUGAUUACAAACACACAAAACAACGGUCUCCCUGAAGACAAGAAAUGUAUAACGUAUUUUACAGGUGCCUUUUUACACUGCCGACUGCCAAUGUGAAGUUCAUUUAUGUCGUGGUUAGACUCGUGCUUCAGACACCGGCCUUUCCAAAGAUAUUUACAAAAAGCGCCCUCUAUGGGACGAAGCGUAGAGUUCCCGUUUGAAAAUUGUUUUAAAGAUUGACAUCUUGUUAAAAAAUAAA